RNAcentral lists this ribosomal RNA (393 nucleotides) under uncultured bacterium. Its description in RNAcentral is "partial 16S ribosomal RNA". It matches the Rfam family "Bacterial small subunit ribosomal RNA", at positions 523 to 918 of the family's 1533-position model. The record is from RNAcentral.
AUACGGAGGAUGCGAGCGUUAUCCGGAUUUAUUGGGUUUAAAGGGUGCGUAGGCUGUGCGUUAAGUCAGGGGUGAAAUGCCGUCGCUCAACGACGGAGCUGCCCUUGAUACUGGCGUGCUGGAGUACGGAUGCCGUUGGAGGAAUGCGUGGUGUAGCGGUGAAAUGCUUAGAUAUCACUCAGAACACCGAUUGCGAAGGCAUCUGACGAAUCCGUCACUGACGCUGAGGCACGAAAGCGUGGGGAUAGAACAGGAUUAGAUACCCUGGUAUUCCACGCCGUAAACGAUGAUGACUAACCGUCGGCGAUAGACAGCCGGUGGCCAAGCGAAAGCGAUAAGUCAUCCACCUGGGGAGUACGUCGGCAACGAUGAAACUCAAAUGAAUUGACGGGG